CUCCGAUUAUUGGCACCUCUUGGUUCCCCCUCUCUUCUUUUCCGUGUCUAAAGCUUUAGCUCUUCUGCAUAAAAAUAUUUUGAUUUUGAUAUUUCAAUUCACGAACACGAAGAAGAAACAAGGCCUC
Molecule: non-coding RNA, 127 nt
Organism: Caenorhabditis elegans
Lineage: Eukaryota; Metazoa; Nematoda; Chromadorea; Rhabditida; Rhabditidae
Source: Ensembl